This 116-nucleotide ribosomal RNA is filed under the name Gammaproteobacteria bacterium. The record is from RNAcentral. Lineage: Bacteria; Pseudomonadati; Pseudomonadota; Gammaproteobacteria.
CCUGACGACCAUAGCGGGUUGGUACCACCUGAAUCCAUUUCGAACUCAGAAGUGAAACGGCUCUGCGCCGAUGGUAGUGUGGGGUCUCCCCAUGUGAGAGUAGGACGUUGUCAGGC